RNAcentral lists this small nucleolar RNA (80 nucleotides) under Trypanosoma cruzi. RNAcentral describes it as "76-nt snoRNA". It matches the Rfam family "Small nucleolar RNA TBR7". Rfam says of the family: TBR7 is a member of the C/D class of snoRNA which contain the C (UGAUGA) and D (CUGA) box motifs. The record is from RNAcentral. Lineage: Eukaryota; Euglenozoa; Kinetoplastea; Trypanosomatida; Trypanosomatidae.
AUGAUGAUUGACGUAACAUCACAGACUUUGACGAACCCGUGAGCAAGAGACACUGUCGCCCCAGUCUGACCGCGACCCCG